Molecule: small RNA, 27 nt
Filed under: Bombyx mori (domestic silkworm)
Lineage: Eukaryota; Metazoa; Arthropoda; Insecta; Lepidoptera; Bombycidae
Description: ovarian small RNA-38358
Source: RNAcentral
UUUCUGCCUGUACGACCCCUUGGACAC